Molecule: ribosomal RNA, 412 nt
Filed under: uncultured prokaryote
Description: bacterial SSU rRNA
Rfam family: Bacterial small subunit ribosomal RNA
Source: RNAcentral
GUGCCAGCCGCCGCGGUAAGACGAACCGUCCAAACGUUAUUCGGAAUCACUGGGCUUAAAGGGUGCGUAGGCGGCACGGCAAGUUGGGUGUGAAAUCCCUCGGCUCAACCGAGGAAUUGCGCCCAAAACUGCCGCGCUCGAGGGAGACAGAGGUGAGCGGAACUUAGGGUGGAGCGGUGAAAUGCGUUGAUAUCCUAAGGAACACCGGUGGCGAAAGCGGCUCACUGGGUCUCUCUGACGCUGAGGCACGAAAGCUAGGGGAGCGAACGGGAUUAGAUACCCCGGUAGUCCUGGCUGUAAACGAUGGGCACUAGACGGGAGGCGCUUCGGCGCAUCCAGUCGCAGCGAAAGCACUAAGUGCCCCGCCUGGGGAGUAUGGUCGCAAGGCUGAAACUCAAAGGAAUUGACGGGG